Molecule: unclassified non-coding RNA, 2166 nt
Filed under: Hevea brasiliensis (rubber tree)
Lineage: Eukaryota; Viridiplantae; Streptophyta; Magnoliopsida; Malpighiales; Euphorbiaceae
Source: RNAcentral
GUUCUGGUAAAUUACUUGAGGAUCUUUCCAGAGAAAAAAAUCAGUUUAACCCUCUAUUUGGUUUCUUGAAUGGAGGAAAAGGUCAUGAAUAUUACGCAAGGAAACUUUGGGAGGAGAGACAUAAACGUAAUGAUCAAGGAAAACAACACUGGGAUGCAAAAAUGUCUCAGAAAGUUCAGAAGAUGACAGCAGAAAGCCGUGGCCAGAUAUUAGGGGAGAAGCCUAUUGAAAGAAGCUUGAGAGCUGCAAAUUCCACUGGUAUAUCUGCUGAUGCAAUCAAUUUAACGUCCAAUCUUUCAGAUACAUUCACCAAACCUGUGUCAAUUAAUGAUCUUCUUGAAUCUGCAAAACCUUUUCAAGAUGAUCCUGCUAAGCAGGAAAGGUUCGAGCAGUUUCUGAAGGAGAAGUAUCAUGGUGGUCUUCGCCCUAAAGAUGGUAGUGGAGCAAGUAAUAUGUCUGAAGCUGCCCGUGCUCGCGAAAGAUUAGAAUUUGAGUCUGUAGCUGAAACAAUAAAUAAAGGAAACCAUGGAAAAGAAAGUGUUCCACCUAGUGAGUUGUUCUCAAGUACGUUAGCUACUGCAGGAUUGCAAUUCACUUCUGGAGGAGCAGAGCUAGCUAAAUUUGGUCAAGAUGAUGGCUUAGCGUCAACAAGUAUGUACCCAAAACGGGAGGAGUUUCAGUGGAGACCUUCAUCUAUUCUGUGCAAGCGCUUUGAUCUUAUUGACCCUUAUAUGGGCAAGCCACCCCCAGCUCCACGCGCGAGGAGCAAAUUGGACUCACUUAUAUAUUUGCCGGAGACUGUCAAAGCUCCAAAGCUUGAAGAUGAUGUAUCUGGGGGUAGGAGCCAAUUCUCUCUCCAGGAAGGCCGUAUAGAAAAAGGAAAAGAAAUAGCUGACCAGGAAAUUGAGGUUGAUGCAGAACCUGAAAAUAUUGAAAGACCUGUUGAUUUGUACAAGGCUAUUUUCUCUGAUGAUUCGGAUGAUGAAGCGGAAACUAGCAAUCAGGAUGUCACAGAGGAUUCACAAAAGAAGGUUGAAGCUGUUAAUACAACUUUAAAUCGAUUAAUAGCUGGAGACUUUUUGGAGUCAUUGGGUAAAGAACUAGGUUUGGAGGUUCCCACCGAUAUGCCUCUCCCAGAUAACAAAUCAAGUAAUCCAGCUAAAAAGGACAGUGUUCCCUUAGAUGUGAGAGCAAAGAGCAUUAACCAAGAUCCGAUAUUGGCAGUAGGAAAUAAUAAUCGGAACAUCUCUCAACAAGGUAUAUUUUCUAGAGAAGGAACUGUGGAUAUGAACUCUCGGAAAAAUGGUGGCAGAGGAACUGAAACUGAAAGCUACAGGAAUGGUAUUGAUAAGAAUAAGUUUGAAGCAGAAGGUAGAAUAGAUGCAAAAGCAAAAGGAGAUCAGUACCGAAAUAAGAACAGCAGUUCAUCAGAAGAUGAAACCGAUAGAAAGCGAAAGCGGCCUCACAGAGGCAGCAGUCUAGAUGCUUCUUCUGAUUCAUCUGAGGGUUACAAAGAUCGUCGUUCAAGGUCAAGGAAGAAAAAAUCAUCUCAGGAGAAGAGUAGUAGUAGUAAAAGGCACUCAAAGCACCAUAAGCAUAGAAGGAGAGACUCACGAAGUCCUAGUAGACAUUCCCGUCAUGGUUCAGAAAAAGACCGCAGAGAAGCCAAGAGAGAGAAGCGUAAAUACAAGGACUGAAACAUUUCUACUAUAUGACCUAUUUGAAAUGGAUCUAAGGAGUUACUUGAAACUACUGCUGAUUGAAUAUAUAUGAAUUCUCAGAUAAGUGGUUAGUUACUGCUGGAACAGUUCAUGCUCCUUGGGUUUACUACUAUGUGCCCUUUUGAGUGCUGUGCGUAGAGCUCUUUCUCUUUGGUCAAUCUAUGGGAGCAAGAGGCCAGAUUCUGAAGUUCUCACUAGGAUCAUCCUUUUGACUUGCAGGAUAUGAUAUUGGUUCGGUCUGUUUUCCAGCUUAUUCCACUGAUCAAGCUUUUGAUUGUAGUAGCAGUUGGAUAAUGGUAUGGCCGGUCUGAUUUUUGUUUCAUGCUUUACGUUAAAAUAUAUUUUAUGUCGAAGCAUUCCAGCUAAUGUCUUUCUGAGGUCUUGGGAAUUCGUUAUGUAUGUUUGUGGUGUGGUUCCCUAUUAGAAAUAAUACACGAUCUAAGGC